This 162-nucleotide unclassified non-coding RNA is filed under the name uncultured Helotiales. Its description in RNAcentral is "sequence contains ITS1". The record is from RNAcentral. Lineage: Eukaryota; Fungi; Ascomycota; Leotiomycetes; Helotiales.
CAGAGAUCAUGCCCUCACGGGUAGACCUCCCACCCUGUGUUAUAUACUAUUGUUGCUUUGGCAGGCCGCCUUCGGGCUCCCGGCUUCGGCUGGGGUGCGCCUGCCAGAGGACCCCCCAACUCUUAAUAUUUAUGUGUCGUCUGAGUACUAUAUAAUAAGUUA